Molecule: long non-coding RNA, 1064 nt
Filed under: Homo sapiens (human)
Lineage: Eukaryota; Metazoa; Chordata; Mammalia; Primates; Hominidae
Description: non-protein coding lnc-IL10RA-2:1
Source: RNAcentral
UUGUUAUGUGUUGGACAUGGUGUGCAGCCCUGGGUACAGAGUGGUGAACCAAACAAGUGUGGCUUCAUGGAGCCUGUCAUCUGGUUAUGAAGAUAAACACCAAGCAAAUAAACACAACAAACGUAUUACUACAAUCAGUGAUAAGUGAUGUGAAAGAAACUAGUAUUCCACAUGAAGGAUGAGGCAGGAGGCAGAGAAACAGGGUAGGAGGCUGUCUUAGGCUGGGCUACUAUAACAAAACACCAUGGACUGGGUGGCUUAAACAACAGACAUUUAUCUCUCACAGUUCUGGAGGUGGGGAAGUGCAGGAUCAAGGUGCCAGCUGAGUGAGUUCCCUGGGAGGGCUCUCUUCCUGGCUUGGAGACGGCCUCCUUCUUGCUGUGGCCUUACACGGUGGAGAUAAAGAACUCUGGUCUCUCUUCCACUUUCUUACAAGGGCACUAAUCCCAUCAUGGAGGCCCCAUCCUCAUGACCUCAUCUAAACCAAUUACCUCCCAGAGGCUUUACCUCCAAAUACCGUCACAUUGGGAGUGACAGCUUCAACAUGAAUUUGGGGAAGACAAAAAUAUUCAGUUCAUAAGAGAGGCUUAUACAAUAGUCUAAUCAAAUGACAGUAUUGAGCAGGGGCAGUGGGAACAGAGAGAAAGGGACAGACUCAAAGACAUUUUAAAGGAAGCAUUAUCAAGAUGGGGCAACAGGCUGGAGUGAAAGAAGGAGGUCUCAGAAGUGCUAGUCACACUUGAACCCGAUGAUGAGAAAAGCGAAAUAUGGACAUGGAAGGGAGACAGAGGUGUGGAGGGAGAGGGGAGAUGAUGAGUUCUGGCUUAAUAAUGACAAGUCAUCCAAGAAAAGGUCUUUCAGCAAUUGGCAAGGCUGGCCUGGAUCUGUGAGGCUCAGGGUUAGGGAUUCCCAUGUGAGAGUGAAUGAGCUCAUAGCCCUUAGUGUGAAGGUAAGGACGCCGGCUUGGAGAAGAUCCCCAAACCCCUGCAGCCAAUACAGUUAGAAUAUUCACGCGAUGACUUCCUGCCUUGAGGAAAAGCAGGCUGCCAUCCCUUCAACUCAUC